This 468-nucleotide ribosomal RNA is filed under the name uncultured bacterium. Its description in RNAcentral is "partial 16S ribosomal RNA". It matches the Rfam family "Bacterial small subunit ribosomal RNA", at positions 28 to 507 of the family's 1533-position model. The record is from RNAcentral.
GACGAACGCUGGCGGCGUGCUUAACACAUGCAAGUCGAACGGAAAGGCCCUGUUCUUGUGGGGUGCGCGAGUGCCGAACGGGUGAGUGACACGUGAGUAAACUGCCCUUUACUUUGGGAUAACAUCAGGAGACUGGGGCUAAUACCGGAUAUGAGCUCCUUCUACAUGGUUGGUGUUGUAAAGUUUCGGCGGUUGGGGAUGGACUCGCGGCUUAUCAGCGUGUUGGUGGGGUAGUGGCUUACCAAGGCUUUGACGGGUAGCCGGCCUGAGAGGGUGACAGGCCACAUUGGGCCUGGGGUACGGGCAAGACUCAUACGGGAGGCAGGAGUGGGAGAUAUUGCACACAGGGCGGAAGGAUGAUGCAAGAACGUCGCGUGCGGGAUGACGGCCUUCGGGUUGGAAACCGCUUUAGACUGUGACGAAGCGUGAGUGACGGUAAUGGGUAAAGAAGCAACGGCUAACUACGUG